Molecule: ribosomal RNA, 370 nt
Filed under: uncultured eukaryote
Lineage: Eukaryota
Description: partial 18S ribosomal RNA
Rfam family: Eukaryotic small subunit ribosomal RNA
Source: RNAcentral
CAAUAGCGUAUAUUAAAGUUGUUGCAGUUAAAAAGCUCGUAGUCGGAUUUCGGGUUGGCGCGGUCGGUCUGCCGUUGGGUAUGCACUGACUGUCGCCUUCCUUUCCGGGGUAGAUCGUGCGUUUACUCGUGCGUUUCUCCUCGCGUUUACUUUGAGAAAAUCAGAGUGUUCAAAGCAGGCCUUUGCCAUUGUAUGUGUUAGCAUGGGAUAAUGGAAUAGGACUCUGGUGCUAUUUUGUUGGUUUCGAACGCCGGGGUAAUGAUUAAUAGGGACAGUCAGGGGCACUCGUAUUCCGUAGAGAGAGGUGAAAUUCUUAGACCCACGGAAGACGCACUACUGCGAAAGCAUUUGCCGGGGAUGUUUUCACUGA